UGAACAAGUAAUCUCUUCAAAAGGUUGUA
Molecule: non-coding RNA, 29 nt
Filed under: Bombyx mori (domestic silkworm)
Lineage: Eukaryota; Metazoa; Arthropoda; Insecta; Lepidoptera; Bombycidae
Source: RNAcentral